AUUGAACGCUGGCGGCAGGCCUAACACAUGCAAGUCGAGCGGAUGAAGGGAGCUUGCUCCUGAAUUCAGCGGCGGACGGGUGAGUAAUGCCUAGGAAUCUGCCUGGUAGUGGGGGAUAACGUCCGGAAACGGGCGCUAAUACCGCAUACGUCCUGAGGGAGAAAGUGGGGGAUCUUCGGACCUCACGCUAUCAGAUGAGCCUAGGUCGGAUAGCUAGUUGGUGGGGUAAAGGCCUACCAAGGCGACGAUCCGUAACUGGUCUGAGAGGAUGAUCAGUCACACUGGAACUGAGACACGGUCCAGACUCCUACGGGAGGCAGCAGUGGGGAAUAUUGGACAAUGGGCGAAAGCCUGAUCCAGCCAUGCCGCGUGUGUGAAGAAGGUCUUCGGAUUGUAAAGCACUUUAAGUUGGGAGGAAGGGCAGUAAGUUAAUACCUUGCUGUUUUGACGUUACCAACAGAAUAAGCACCGGCUAACUUCGUG
This 483-nucleotide ribosomal RNA is filed under the name uncultured bacterium. Its description in RNAcentral is "partial 16S ribosomal RNA". It matches the Rfam family "Bacterial small subunit ribosomal RNA", at positions 30 to 507 of the family's 1533-position model. The record is from RNAcentral.